Molecule: ribosomal RNA, 253 nt
Filed under: uncultured bacterium
Lineage: Bacteria
Description: partial 16S ribosomal RNA
Rfam family: Bacterial small subunit ribosomal RNA
Source: RNAcentral
UACGAGGGGUGCAAGCGUUGCUCGGAAUUAUUGGGCGUAAAGGGUUGGUAGGUGGUCUUAUUUGUCUAAGGUGAAAUCCCAUGGCUUAACUGUGGAAGUGCCUUAGAAACGGUAAGACUAGAGUCCUAGAGGGGUUUGUGGAAUUCCCGGUGUAGCGGUGAAAUGCGUAGAGAUCGGGAGGAACACCAGCGGCGAAGGCGGCAAACUGGAUAGGCACUGACACUCAACAACGAAAGCGUGGGGAGCAAACAGG